Molecule: long non-coding RNA, 1414 nt
Organism: Passer montanus (Eurasian tree sparrow)
Lineage: Eukaryota; Metazoa; Chordata; Aves; Passeriformes; Passeridae
Exons: 3
Source: RefSeq, a predicted model, not a curated record
CCAAAACAAAAUUUCCACUGCCUUUGGAAAACACGGAGGCACGCUGAGCAGGAAUGCAGGCUGCAGGUAUUCUCAUUUUUGAGCCUCUCCUGGGGCCAAAGGGAACAUUCCUGGUCAUUCCUGGCCCUGGAGACCCCACCUGGCUGCUCCAGGCUCGUUGCCACCCCUGAGCUCAGGCCCAGCGUCUUCCGGCCAGUGCAGAUUGGAACAUUUGGAGCCAUUGUGGGUCACACCCUCCCCGAAACCCUGCUGGCCACAGAGCCCAGGCUGUGUCCCCACACGUGUCAGGGCUGAGGGCGCUGCUGGCCAGAGCUGGGGUAGCAACAGGCACCUCCUGAGGGAAUUGGCACCCUUGGUUUCUGGAAAUAAGGGCAGACAUCCCUCUUUGAAACAUUUGAAUGUGGGGAAAAAAGAGCAAAAUGAAAGAUAUUAGGAAGAGAGAUUGGAAUCACAGAAUAUCCUCAGUGGGAAAGGGGCCGGCUCACAGGGGUCAUUCAGCCCAACUCCUGCACAGACACCCCAAAAUCCCACCCUGGGCACCCCUGGGAGUGCUGUCCAAACCCUCCUGGAGCUCUGGCAGCCUUGGCAAUGUGCCCCUUCCCUGGGGAGCCUGGACAGGGCCCAGCACACUCUGGGGGAAGAACCUUUCCCAAAAUCCAUCCCAAUGGCCUGACACAGCCAUUCCCCAGGUCCUGUCCCUGUCCAGAGAGCAGAGCUGCCCCUCAGGAGCAAAUCAGGGCUGGAGGCAAGUGGAAAAUAGAAUCCCUGCAGGACUGGUGCUGGAUCCAGGGGGAAUCCUCAGCAUUCUGGAUGUGGAAUGGGAAUCCCAGGGCUGUAACCUCUCCAGGUUUUUUGCACCUUCCUUGGCCAAGCUGAGCAGCAUUCCCAGCCAUUCCCAGCCACUCCCAGCUGUGACACUUGGAUCAUCAUUAGGGGAUGUUGCCAUGGCUGCUUUCACAAUUAAAAACAAAUCCGGUUUGUGCUGCAGCCGGUGUUAUAAAAAUAAACACAGCUACUUUGCAUAACAGCAAAAUUAGGGCCUAAUUGCCAGCUGGUGUGUUAAACCAUAAAUGAAAACAAACAGGGCAAUAAAUGGAAUUAUUAGAAAGAUACUAUGGCUUGGGGAGAUAUUACACUGUGAGGGCUUAUUUGGAGAUCACAGAGCAAACCCAGCCUGAGCAGAGCAAAGCAGGGUCCUUGUCCUGCUCUUCCUCAAAUCCCUGGGGAUCAAACAAUCCCUCAUCAUCCUCUUUCCACUUGGGAUCAUCGGACCAUCCUCACAGACAGAAAUCAGUUUUUAGUGUGAAGAGAUGCAGCAAAUGGAAUCACAUGGAAAGGCUCAGAGGCAGAAAAGGAAUAUUUGUGUGUCCCUACUCAUUUCUGGGAGAGGGAUUGGGGUUGGGAAUGGCACCGG